RNAcentral lists this ribosomal RNA (500 nucleotides) under uncultured bacterium. Its description in RNAcentral is "partial 16S ribosomal RNA". It matches the Rfam family "Bacterial small subunit ribosomal RNA", at positions 30 to 523 of the family's 1533-position model. The record is from RNAcentral.
AUUGAACGCUGGCGGCAGGCUUAACACAUGCAAGUCGAGCGGAGCGAGGGUGCUUGCACCUUAGCUUAGCGGCGGACGGGUGAGUAAUGCUUAGGAAUCUGCCUAUUAGUGGGGGACAACAUUCCGAAAGGGAUGCUAAUACCGCAUACGCCCUACGGGGGAAAGCAGGGGAUCUUCGGACCUUGCGCUAAUAGAUGAGCCUAAGUCGGAUUAGCUAGUUGGUGGGGUAAAGGCCUACCAAGGCGACGAUCUGUAGCGGGUCUGAGAGGAUGAUCCGCCACACUGGGACUGAGACACGGCCCAGACUCCUACGGGAGGCAGCAGUGGGGAAUAUUGACAAUGGGCGGAAGCCUGAUCCAGCCAUGCCGCGUGUGUGAAGAAGGCCUUUUGGUUGCAAAGCACUUUAAGCGAGGAGGAGGCUACUAGUAUUAACACUACUGGAUAGUGGACGUUACUCGCAGAAUAAGCACCGGCUAACUCUGUGCCAGCCGCCGCCGUAA